Molecule: ribosomal RNA, 567 nt
Filed under: uncultured bacterium
Lineage: Bacteria
Description: partial 16S ribosomal RNA
Rfam family: Bacterial small subunit ribosomal RNA
Source: RNAcentral
UGGGGAAUAUUGCACAAUGGGCGCAAGCCUGAUGCAGCCAUGCCGCGUGUGUGAAGAAGGCCUUCGGGUUGUAAAGCACUUUCAGCGAGGAGGAAGGUGGUGGACUUAAUACGUUCAUCAAUUGACGUUACUCGCAGAAGAAGCACCGGCUAACUCCGUGCCAGCAGCCGCGGUAAUACGGAGGGUGCAAGCGUUAAUCGGAAUUACUGGGCGUAAAGCGCACGCAGGCGGUUUGUUAAGUCAGAUGUGAAAUCCCCGGGCUCAACCUGGGAACUGCAUUUGAAACUGGCAAGCUAGAGUCUCGUAGAGGGGGGUAGAAUUCCAGGUGUAGCGGUGAAAUGCGUAGAGAUCUGGAGGAAUACCGGUGGCGAAGGCGGCCCCCUGGACGAAGACUGACGCUCAGGUGCGAAAGCGUGGGGAGCAAACGGGAUUAGAUACCCUGGUAGUCCACGCUGUAAACGAUGUCGAUUUGGAGGUUGUGCCCUUGAGGCGUGGCUUCCGGAGCUAACGCGUUAAAUCGACCGCCUGGGGAGUACGGCCGCAAGGUUAAAACUCAAAUGAAUUGAC